UAGGGAAUCUUCCACAAUGGACGCAAGUCUGAUGGAGCAACGCCGCGUGAGUGAAGAAGGUCUUCGGAUCGUAAAGCUCUGUUGUUGGUGAAGAAGGAUAGAGGCAGUAACUGGUCUUUAUUUGACGGUAAUCAACCAGAAAGUCACGGCUAACUACGUGCCAGCAGCCGCGGUAAUACGUAGGUGGCAAGCGUUGUCCGGAUUUAUUG
RNAcentral lists this ribosomal RNA (209 nucleotides) under uncultured bacterium. Its description in RNAcentral is "partial 16S ribosomal RNA". It matches the Rfam family "Bacterial small subunit ribosomal RNA", at positions 355 to 556 of the family's 1533-position model. The record is from RNAcentral.